UUUUUAAUUCAACAUCGAGGUCGCAAUCAUUAAUAUCAAUAUGAUCUUUCUAAUAAUAUUACGCWGUUAUCCCUAAGGUAAUUAAUUUUUAAAUAAUUUUAAUUACUAAAUUAUUCAUUUAUUAUUUUCAUUAAUUUAUGAUUAAUUUAAUUAAAGUUAAUAAAAUUUAAGUAUCCUCCCAAUAAAAUAUAUAAAC
This 196-nucleotide ribosomal RNA is filed under the name Brachymyrmex sp. MC-1995. RNAcentral describes it as "partial 16S ribosomal RNA". Lineage: Eukaryota; Metazoa; Arthropoda; Insecta; Hymenoptera; Formicidae. The record is from RNAcentral.